GACGAACGCUGGCGGCGCGCUUAACACAUGCAAGUCGAACGGAAAGGCCUGCUUUCCCUUGUGGAUUGCGGGUACUCGAGUGGCGAACGGGUGAGUAACACGUGAGUGAUCUGCCCCCAACUUGGGUAUAAGCCUGGGAAACUGGGUCUAAUUCCCGAUAGGACUGCAGGGUGGUGCCUGUGGUGGAAAACGAUUUUCUAGUGGUUGGGGAUGAGCUCGCGGCCUAUCAGCUUGUUGGUGGGGUAAUGGCCUACCAAGGCGGCGACGGGUAGCCGGCCUGGGAGGGUGGGCGGGCGCAGUGGGACUGAGAUACGGCCCAGACGCCUACGGGAGGCAGCAGUGGGGAAGCAUGCACAAUGGGCGGAGGCCUGAGGCAGCGACGCCGCGGGGGGGAUGACGGCCUUCGGGUUGUAAACUCCUGGCGACCGCGAGGAAGCCACCUGGUUGGAAGGGUGGUGACGGUAGUGGUAGAAGAAGCACCGGCUAACUACGUG
This 494-nucleotide ribosomal RNA is filed under the name uncultured bacterium. RNAcentral's name for it is "partial 16S ribosomal RNA". It matches the Rfam family "Bacterial small subunit ribosomal RNA", at positions 28 to 507 of the family's 1533-position model. The record is from RNAcentral.